Molecule: long non-coding RNA, 2166 nt
Filed under: Homo sapiens (human)
Lineage: Eukaryota; Metazoa; Chordata; Mammalia; Primates; Hominidae
Description: HSALNT0364349
Source: RNAcentral
AUUGGCCCUUGACCAGCCUGAUUGGUUGCAGGAGGGGACCAAUCAGAGGUACCUCCCAUUUUUCAUCUGCAGCCCAAUGCAAAGUAAUGACAUGGAUCUGGAGAGAUUCUCUUAGGAGAGAAUCUGGCUAAGUGUCUAGCAGGAUGAUUGAUUAACAAGAUGUUUUGUUUUCAUCAUCUCAGAGAUAAGUACAACUAUUCUGUCAUCUAAUCUGCUAACUCCUACAUUAUCAAUACGCUGUAUUGAGGUAUAAUUGAUAUGCCAAAUAACUGGACACAUUCAACUUGUGCAAUUUGAUGAGUUUGGAGAUACACAUACAUCUGUGAAACCAUCACCAAAAUCAAGAACAACUUUCUCUGAUCUCUGUGGACAUGCUUAAAAUGGCUGACUCACACAGCAAGACUAUUUAACUGUGCCUAAAAUCAACCCACAUUCAGAUGCUAACUGUAAUCCUAUUCCCUGAUCCAUCAGGAAAAAGAGUCUGAUUGACAUAACUUGUCAAGUGUUCGCCCCAGCUUCUAUCAACUAUGGGGAAGGAAGGGCCAGAAGAGGUGUAACCAUCAUGGCUACCAGAGUACAUGGUUUCCAGGCCAAAUACCACAGUGUUCCAGGCAAGGAUGUGGUCAGUUUCCUUCUCUGCUGGAUCCCAAAGCCCAGGGCAGCUCUUGCACAUAAUGGAACACAAACGCCUGGUACAUGGAUGCUACAAUGAAAAGAAUAUGGGUGCUGAAAUCAGAGAGAAUCAUCCAAGAUGAUCCUUAUGCAUGCUGAACUCUGAGAGCCACCAGUGAAGAAGAUAAGUGACCCAUCUACCUGUAGCUGGAAAAUAAAGGCUCUUUGGGAUUCUUUCCCAUGAGUCUUCAUUUCACCAUAUUGGUGAGAGAAGGCAUUCAGGCCCAAUAAUUAACUGAACAUUAGCUGUGUACCAGACACUGUGGUCGACAUUGAGAUAUAACGGAUUUAAGAAAGUCUUUGUGGCUGUGGUGGCUUCAAAUCACUCCCGAGGCUUUAGAAGAAUAUAAUUGCCGUUCUAAGAAGAAUCUGAGGCCUCUAGGAGAUCUGCCAGUAGUGGCCCCAAUGUAUAACAGCACUAGCUCAGUGAAGAGAGAGAGAAAAGAUCUGAAGAGAGUGGUUGCAGUUUGAGCUCUGUCAAUGGGACAGUCCUGGGCAGGAGACUGGGGAGAAGAGGCGGCUUGCUGGUUUUCCUGAACCACUUCCACCCUGAAAGACUCCUUGCAUACAAUCAUCAGAGAAGAACCGUGGGAACCAAGAACCAUGAGCAGGAGAACCAUGAGCACACUGUUCGCAAUGGCCAAGAUUUGGAGGCAACCUAAGUGUCCAUCGACAGACAAAUGGUUAAAGAAAAUGAGGAAGGAAUAUCAAGAAAAUAGACUACAAAUAAAUGUCUUUUAUUUCUACUUCUUCAAUAUAUAUUAUAACAUUCUUCUUGCCAACUGAUCUUCUUGCCUCCAAUUUGACCCCUCUGAUCCACCAAGUAUUGCAUACUACCGUGUUUUGAGACAUAGGAGGAGGAAAAAACCAUGGCUGCGGAGGUGAUUUAAUAUCCUGUUGACUCUGAAGAAAAAUACACUUCUUCAUUAUAAGAGUUUUAUUGCCAAUGACUAGAAGGAAAUGUAAAGGGGACAACACAAGAUGACUAACACAGGAAGUUAUAAAACUCACAGCUCUAACUGUCAUGGCCCUGGGCCCAUGGUGCCUGAAUCCCUCUGGGAGUAUUAAAUGGAAGGCCCCCUGGUACCUGAAUUUUGUUUUAGUUUUCUCUCUCCAUCUCUGUGAUUACACAUAAAAUCAGCCAAGCACCUGCUCCCCUCCAGCCUAGAUAACACAUACCUCCAUGCUAUAAAGGGACAAUUUGACCAAGAGACACCCACCUCACCUGACCACAGAGCUGGAAAAUCUACUAUGUCAGACUUCCAUGCAACCGCUGGUGGGAGAAAGUUUUCACGAGUCUCUCUGGGCCCUUAUCCCUCUCCCCUGUAUUCCCAUCCUUAUCCAAAUCCACAUUUCACCAAACUCCCUAACGCUAAGCAGCUGUUGAAGUUCAGAUCACAGUCUCUGAGGAGCUCCUGGUUUCCCAUGGAAUGUGAUUUGCCUCAUCAUCUUACAGCCUGCCUCCACUUUGCUUUCUUAUCAUUUCAGAGGCUU